CGGUAACAUUUCUAGCUUGCUAGAAGAUGACGAGUGGCGGACGGGUGAGUAAUACUUAGGAAUAUGCCUUUGUGUGGGGGAUAACUAUUGGAAACGAUAGCUAAUACCGCAUAACGUCUUCGGACCAAAGGGGGCUUCGGCUCCCGCGCAAAGAGUAGCCUAAGCGAGAUUAGCUUGUUGGUGAGGUAAAGGCUCACCAAGGCGACGAUCUCUAGCUGUUCUGAGAGGAAGAUCAGCCACACUGGAACUGAGACACGGUCCAGACUCCUACGGGAGGCAGCAGUGGGGAAUAUUGCACAAUGGGGGAAACCCUGAUGCAGCCAUGCCGCGUGUGUGAAGAAGGCCUUCGGGUUGUAAAGCACUUUCAGUUGUGAGGAAAGGUUAACGGUUAAUACCCGUUAGCUGUGACGUUAGCAACAGAAGAAGGACCGGCUAACUCCGUGCCAGCAGCCGCGGUAAUACGGAGGGUCCGAGCGUUAAUCGGAAUUACUGGGCGUAAAGCGCACGCAGGCGGUUUGUUAAGCUAGAUGUGAAAGCCCUGGGCUCAACCUGGGAAUUGCAUUUAGAACUGGCAGGCUAGAGUUUUGGAGAGGGGAGUGGAAUUCCAGGUGUAGCGG
Molecule: ribosomal RNA, 617 nt
Filed under: uncultured bacterium
Lineage: Bacteria
Description: bacterial SSU rRNA
Rfam family: Bacterial small subunit ribosomal RNA
Source: RNAcentral